Long non-coding RNA from Neodiprion virginianus, 610 nucleotides. RefSeq lists it as uncharacterized. The record is from RefSeq and is a predicted model, not a curated record. NCBI's taxonomy places the organism in Eukaryota, Metazoa, Arthropoda, Insecta, Hymenoptera, Diprionidae. The transcript has 2 exons.
CUAAUCUCACUACAGAUCUCGGACGACGCAGAGCGCCUUUGAUGGACGCUUGAGGAUAAAUGGUGAAGAACUGUCAGUAACGACGGGCGUCAAUCGAACUUCCGAAACGUACAGUUAACCAGAAUCGCAAAAUGUCUAUCUAUCGCCACCUCGGAAGACUGAUUUAAUUCCGUGACUUUUUGUUACGAACCGAACUACGCAUCUCUGAAUUAAAAAACUGACUGAUCUCAUGCUUCGUGAAUACUGAUAUUAACGAGUCUCGAUAGCAAUGCAAGACCGUCUUCAAGACACGAGAUCAUAUCUUAUGGAUCCGCGGACGUAUCUUGGGUGUUAAAUGCGGCUGAUAUCGAACGAUAGUGCUGCAGAAAAGUUUAUAAAAUAUGGAUGAACCGGAUACCUUAUAGCCAAGACGAUUAUGUGCAAUUGGCGGUAGUGAUUCGCAUAUCGGAUCGUACGUUUUCUAUCUAAGAAUAAGUAUGUGAGCUUCGACCUGGGUGAACACCAAGUUCUCGGAGUAAUGGAAGUAAAUGCUCUAUCUUAUACUCCUCCGUUCCGUACAGAAGAUGUCCUGAAUUUUUCUGAAGAUAUGCAAUAAAUACUUUGCAGAUGU